This 552-nucleotide long non-coding RNA is filed under the name Phascolarctos cinereus (koala). Its description in RNAcentral is "lncRNA (ENSPCIG00000003986.2)". Lineage: Eukaryota; Metazoa; Chordata; Mammalia; Diprotodontia; Phascolarctidae. The record is from RNAcentral.
AUGUAUAAAGAGAUAGUUCUUUUGUUACUUCUUUCAGGUAAUGUCUCCACACAGGAACUAUCUUCGAAUAAAGCAUACAUUUUUCUACCUCUAACUUCACAAAAACUUGCCAGGCAUCAAAGAAAUGAGGGACUACCUGUUACAGAAGACCCAGGGUAUAUCUCCACAACUGCAAUUUCACAAAAACCCACAAGGCGACAAAGGGUAGAAGAACUGCCUGUUACCGAAGACCCAGGUUAUGUUUCAACCCAAGAAGUGAGUACCCCUCACAGUAAUGCAAGUAAACCCUACGAACAACCAGUAACGAAGGAAAUAACAACCGUGGCAACGGCUAGCAUAGCCAAAGACGAGCAUUUGACCACCCAAACCCACUCUGAGAUCUCAACGCAGGCACCAGGAAAAGACGGAUCAAGAGAUCGGGUAACCCACGCUCUCUCCGGACCAGAAAAAUUAGUUCAGCCUGACAAACAAGGACACGGGCAUUCCAUAAAGAAAAAGAAGAUUGAGCAUAGUCCCCUUUGUUUACCUCGUGCUCUUCUGAAAGGACAAUAA